GCCAGGCAUGGAGGUGCAUGCCUGUAGUUCCAGCUACUCGGGAGGCUGAGAAGGGAGGAUUGCUUGAGCUCAGGAGUUGGAGGUUGCAGUGGGCUAUGGUUGCACCACUGCACUCCAGCUUGGGCAACAGAGCAAGACCCUGUCUCAA
Non-coding RNA from Homo sapiens (human), 148 nucleotides. It matches the Rfam family "Metazoan signal recognition particle RNA". From Rfam's summary of the family: The signal recognition particle (SRP) is a universally conserved ribonucleoprotein. It is involved in the co-translational targeting of proteins to membranes. The eukaryotic SRP consists of a 300-nucleotide 7S RNA and six proteins: SRPs 72, 68, 54, 19, 14, and 9. The record is from Rfam. NCBI's taxonomy places the organism in Eukaryota, Metazoa, Chordata, Mammalia, Primates, Hominidae.